This is a long non-coding RNA of Macaca mulatta (Rhesus monkey), 5549 nucleotides long. RefSeq lists it as uncharacterized. The record is from RefSeq and is a predicted model, not a curated record. Lineage: Eukaryota; Metazoa; Chordata; Mammalia; Primates; Cercopithecidae.
AUGUUUGUGGAGCCGCCGCCAAUCAAGGGCUUCGUUGCCAGGGUAACCGGGACACUUCAUCAGCUCUGAGAACAGAUGGUCAGUGAGUAACAGGCAGCAUAUGUUCCCGUAAGCCCUGACACGGGCACAGAUGGAGGGUGGGCGGGAGGCUCUCCUCCCUUCCCAUGGGUGCGGCAUUGCCGAGAGGCACAGAGGCCAGGGGAGCCCGCGUGGUGCUGGUGAGUGCAGAUUACUAACACGCCAGGGCCGCUCCCAGCCUGGCUUAACCAGAGCGCUGCACUGUUAACAACACCGGGCACACAGGGCCGCGCGCUGAGCUGAAUCGCAUCCAGGAAUCCUCACUAGCAGCCUGCCCACCUUCCAGUGUCACUGUCUCAGGCCUCUGGUUUCUGUGGAUGUUUGCAGGAGAAAUCAAACUGCCCUUUACAGGACCAAAGGAGAAUCUGAUGUCUUCCGGGCAUGGAGGUGGGGGUCCCAGAGGGUGCGGCCUCAAAGCCUAUCAAAGUCAAUAUACACAGGUUCGCGUGCGCUGGCCACUGGCUGGUGUGACAAAUGAUUCGUCUCUCAGACCUUGUAUUCCCUGUAUUUGAUUUGGCCCCCCCAAAAUGAGGUCCCCAGUCUCUCCACUGUCACCAACAUGAGGAUAGCUCAGGGAGCAAGGAUCUUGGUGAUUUCAUCGUCGAUUGCCAGCAUGAUUAAAGCAACUGCCUUUCACCAAACAUCUACUAUACCCAGACCCUCGAUACACCUCUGGGAUCCCAUCUCUGCUGGCCAGCAAGGGUGGAGGAGGUGUCUAGCCUGGCUCUGAGUUCUACGCCCAGCUGGGCUCCAGGGAGGCGGUCUUGUGGUCACAGGCCACAGGGCAGGCCUGGCUGUGUCUGCACUGGGGCUAUGCUGUGGCCAGGAGAAGCCAGGCACCCUUUCUCCCGUGGACAGUCCUGCCAGCUUCAGAGAAGCCCUGGGCUCCUUUCUCCAGUGUCUGCUGGUCCUGGUGCAGCUCUGUCCGGAGUGGGCACAGCUUCCCAGCUCCCAUUAUGUCUCUGGUCUCUAAUCUCAGGCCUGUCUGUGCUCUACACGAGUCUGCCUGGUUCACCAGGCCCCACAAAUUCACUGCUCACCGGUACCCAAUACAAGCACAGCUCUGACCCUCUGGGGUCCUGUAACAAUCUUCAGUUGGAUCCUAUCCCAUCCCAGGAAUCUCCACAGCAGAUUUCUGCUUGGGCUGGAUGUGUUCCAGUCCUGAGCAGGGCUCUGCCCUAUGGAGAGGCCUUCGAUAUUCCGCCUCUAGGUCAAAUGUGGUGGAAAUCCAUCUGCAAGCUCAGAAGUUAUCAGGAAGAAGCCAGCAGGGGCAGCCACUCGACAGUUCUCCUUUCCAUAACAAAUCAGGUUAAAAUCUGCAGGAGCAGGCUUGAUUGACUAGAGGGAUCAAUCCAGUACAGAAACAAAUGCCCCGGCAUGCUUUGCAGGGAGCCUGGACACAGAGACAACGUUUGCAUGAAUGAGACCUGCCAGGUCCACUGGUGCCAGUGAACAAACUACUUAUGGCAGUGCCCAGUCAGACAAGCUGCCAGGAAAGCCAGGAAUUUCCUUUCACCUGCUUUCUGCUUGACUUGGUUUACCAACACUAUACAUCCAAGAGAAAAAAAAUUAAUGUGCAUUUUCUCUUCAGGGGCACUUGUGUGAAAAACAUGUGUCUGCCUGUCAUCAUCCCUGGGUGAGCCCACGGCCACCAAUCCCUGGGUCACAGCUCCCCAAAACCAAGAGAAACAGCUGGCGGGACAAAGCCAGGGCAGCCCUAAACAUGCCACAUCACCCCAGUGCUAUGCGAAGGAAGCUUCAGGGGCAUCUUCAAGGAAGUGUGUGAAUCUGAGUAAAUUUUACAGAUUAAAACUUUUACAAAUUGUAUAAAAUUUUAAUCAUUCCAAUUCAGCAUUUAGAAAAAUACUUGUUUAGUGGGAAAUUUAUAGCUAUAAACGCCUAUCCACAAACAAAGAAAUGCUUAAAAUCAAUGACCUGAAGUUCCACCUUAAAAUGCUAGAAAGAGAAGAGCAAACAUAACACAAAGUAAGUGUUAACAAAAACUAAAGAACAGAAAUCAAUGAAAUAAAGAGCAGAUGACAGAGAAAUUUAGCAAAACCAAAGUUGGUUCUUUGAAGAGACUGGCAAACUUGAUAAACUCCAAUUUUAUAGAAUGAUCUAUAGAAUGAUCAAGAAGAGCGAAAGCACAAGCUAGCAAGGCCAGGAAUGGAGGAGGGUCAUCAUAACAGACCCUACAGGCAUCAGGAGAAUCAGCAGCAGAUGGUCAUUGUCCUGUUAGGGCUCAGACUCAAGACAGCUUUUUGGACAGAAACCUGUGUAUCAAUUGUGAUAGUUACAUGGGUAUUUCCAUUUGUUAAAAAUGCAUAAUUUUGUUGGAUGUACAUUAUGCUUCAAUGAACUUGAUAUCAACAGUAAAAAGAUUUUCCUGCUUUCUUAAGCAGAGAUAAGUUUUCAUGUUCCUCUGCCAUAAAUUCAGACAUUCAUUACACUUUUCUCUAAUUCCACACACUGUGAGGCCCUUGGGAGGUGAGUGCUGGUUGCUUCUGCCACAGUGAAUGCCCAUAGCAGGGAGCAGUUGGACCCAUCCUCUCCCCAGGGUCAACCCACACUUUUCCUUGGUGCCAGCCCUCACCCUCCAAGCCUCUGGUAUGUGGCUUCCACCAGCUGCAGCCUAGGAAGCCGUGACAUCAACAGGGUUGGCUCUGGGGCUGCCCAGGCCUCUGAAGGAGAUGGGUGUCCUUGUGCUGUCAGGAUCAGGUGCUCUGAGAGGGCCUGGGAGUCACCUGUGCUUUCCCCAGGCAGUAGCCACACUUAGGAGGAACCGGAGGUUGUCAGAUGAAUGAGCAAGGUGCCCUUUGGGGCCCACUAGGCUCUGGGAUCUCUCAUGACCAGACACGCAUUUUUGCCUUUGUUUAGGCAAAUAGAGCCAUACACAUAAUUAUUUCAGUUGGGCCAAAUCUGUAAAAGGAAAAAAGAAAGAUUUGAAAACUCACUCAAAAUGAUGCAUUUUGGGAACAGGAAUUUUACAAAACCCAAUCAAAUAUUUGUCGGAUACCCACCAUGUGAAGUCACUGUCCCAAGCCUUGUGGGGGACACGAAAAUGAACAAAGCAAUCCCCUGCCCUCAGGGUCUCACAACAGCCCAACCAAGGCUGUGUACCUCCCGUGCUGAGAGCUGGGCCUGAGCCUCGUGUCGGGGAGACCUGGAGAUAUUCCUGGGGAAAGGCGGCAUCACGCUGAGGCCUUUGGUGGACAGAGAAAAAAACCUCAAGAUAUUUACCCAGCUUUCCACUCAAUGUCCCAAAGUACUAAGGCUUCUUCAAGUUAGUUUUUCCUUCCUAAAUCAGGCUCGUGUUGCUCGCAGUUUCUCCGCCCAUGGAAAGCUCACCUCAGUAGAUGCUCAGCUGUGCCAGGCAUCUCUCGUCCUCCCGGGGUGGCUGGGGGCAUUGACUUUUGCCCACCGUGAAACCUGCACUCUGCACACAGGGCCGGCUGUCCCGCGUGCCCGCUGCGGUCGGUUCCAAGCUGCAGGAGUGACGUCUGGAGUCUGGUUCUCGGGACCUGCCCAUGUCUUCAUCGCACAGAUUCGCCUCAGGUGGAGGGAAUGGAGGGGCUGCUGUGAGACCGUGAGUUUCUCCAGAGGACUUUGACGUCCUCCUGGUCCCCCAGGGUUUACGUAAGUGGUGUCUAGAGCAGAAGAAAGACCGUGAUGGGAAGGAACUGGUGAUUCUUACAGCUGGCGUGGAGUUCUCACCUGAGCCCUCUGAGCUCUCUGCGUCUGCCGCUUGCUUUUCUACCCUGGUGAGUCUUUGCUCAGGCCGAGUCUCGCUCUUUUUUGGUAGAGGCAUUUUGAUGUCAUAGGAGUUUGUUUUGGUGAUAAGGCCACCUUUAAUCAAGGACCUUCCAUCCCUGCUGAGAUGAUAAAAGACCUUGUGUCUUUUCCAGCAAGUCCUUUCUGGUAUAAAGUGUCUGAUUCCUGCAGAAUCUCCAUUCUGUCUCUGAGGCGUGUCUUUUUUAGUGAAUUUGCUUUUGAUCCUUUCUGUGCACCUAAUUUGAUAUUUUGUUUGAUGUGGCUCUUUUCUCUUGCUUGUUUCUGGAAAUCUUCUAAGAGCAAAAAUAAGCAUUCUAAAUGCUGGACACAGGAUGGCUCACUAAAAGCCACUAGAGUGGUUGCCACUAUCUAAAACACUGGUCCAGACUCCUGACAUUCUCUUGAGAGGAUUUAUAGGAUUUUUUUGCUCUCAAGAGAUUAAUAAGGAACGGAACGGGAUUCUCAAACAUGAAGAUGUGCCAGGUAUUCUGGGACUCCAGCUGUCUGUAUUGUGGCCCAUUCUCAUGCACAUUUUUAAACUGAAGGGGCAAAUUACACCAAGGAAAAUUCAGAGCUCAGUGGUCAUUAUCCGAACUUUCUAAAAGAAGAUUCUACAACUAUAGAGUUAGCAUUGUAAGUCCUCUAUUUUUUUUUCUGCUUAUGUCCAAUCUGCUGACCCUUCUGUUGGUAUUGAGAUAAAACUCACUGCUUAUGAUACUCCAGCCAAGGUUCUUUUAAAAAAGUCUUAAAGGGCUUUCAAAUUACUGGCUUUACAAAUUACAACAGCUCCAUGGUAACCAACAACCUAGACACUUUUUGAAAAUGUAAAUUUAGAUUUGCCUAACAGUUGCUUAGGGUGAUGGAACAGUUAAUUGAAGGACUGAUAGUCUAAAAGGAAAGACCUAGAUAAAUGUUUAUAAAAGUUAGGCUCUGAGAUCAAACAGGUCAAAAUCUGGAGCUCAGAGCAGUAAUACAAUUUUUUAUAUCUCUGGCAUAAACAUUGCUUUUUCUGUCAUGCAGGAGCCAAGGGAAAAAAGCUCCCAAAACCUGCUAAAAUGUUUCCCACCUGCAUUGACCAGUCAGGGGCAAGGAAACCAGACUGCAGACAAAAGGCAGAUGUUUUACUAAUUCAAGGCUACUUGGACAUUUUCUUUUUCCUUUUAUAAUUCAGCCAGUUCAAGGUAAAACAUAAACAUUAAAAAUUUAACACUAAACUCAUUUGAAACAAACAAAAAUGUUUUUUAAAACCAAACUGCUUAACCCAACACUUUGCUGCACAGCCUUCAUUAGACUAUCUGCAGGGCAAAGAAAGUUUUCACCAUGUGAACAGUUCCCAUUUUGUCAGAAAGAUAAUUUGGAUCCACCUAUCAUUUAUGAACCAGUGAGUUCGUAUAUUUUACUGUCUCAUGACUAAAAUUCUACAAUGAAAGCUAUGAGAGCUUUGUGUAUGUAUAUACCUCUAGGUGUGUUUCUGCAUAUGUGCAUGUAUUAUGUUUUAUGUUGUAUCUACAUGGUGAAAUCUGGCAGAGUGGGCCAGAAGUCCCUAAGAAAUUCCAUUGAGAUUUGCUGAAAUGAGUGCUCAUAUAAAGUAUACAGCUAUUAACCUAAAUGUCUUCUAUUUCAUGUGACCUAAGUAGAUCUUUGAUAAAUAAGCUGGUUUAAAAAUCAUUGGUAAAAUAAAACUGGAAGUAUCUUCAAAA